RNAcentral lists this transfer RNA (71 nucleotides) under Rubrobacter sp. RNAcentral's name for it is "tRNA-Gly". It matches the Rfam family "tRNA". From Rfam's summary of the family: Transfer RNA (tRNA) molecules are approximately 80 nucleotides in length. Their secondary structure includes four short double-helical elements and three loops (D, anti-codon, and T loops). Lineage: Bacteria; Bacillati; Actinomycetota; Rubrobacteria; Rubrobacterales; Rubrobacteraceae. The record is from RNAcentral. RNAcentral also lists the same sequence under 1 other name.
GCGGGUGUAGCUCAAUGGUAGAGCCCCAGCCUUCCAAGCUGUUGAUGGGGGUUCGAUUCCCCUCACCCGCU